RNAcentral lists this ribosomal RNA (438 nucleotides) under uncultured Streptococcus sp. RNAcentral describes it as "bacterial SSU rRNA". It matches the Rfam family "Bacterial small subunit ribosomal RNA", at positions 943 to 1382 of the family's 1533-position model. The record is from RNAcentral. Lineage: Bacteria; Bacillati; Bacillota; Bacilli; Lactobacillales; Streptococcaceae.
GGUUUAAUUCGAAGCAACGCGAAGUAACCUUACCAGGUCUUGACAUCCCGAUGCUAUUUCUAGAGAUAGAAAGUUACUUCGGUACAUCGGUGACAGGUGGUGCAUGGUUGUCGUCAGCUCGUGUCGUGAGAUGUUGGGUUAAGUCCCGCAACGAGCGCAACCCCUAUUGUUAGUUGCCAUCAUUCAGUUGGGCACUCUAGCGAGACUGCCGGUAAUAAACCGGAGGAAGGUGGGAUGACGUCAAAUCAUCAUGCCCCUUAUGACCUGGGCUACACACGUGCUACAAUGGUUGGUACAACGAGUUGCGAGUCGGUGACGGCGAGCUAAUCUCUUAAAGCCAAUCUCAGUUCGGAUUGUAGGCUGCAACUCGCCUACAUGAAGUCGGAAUCGCUAGUAAUCGCGGAUCAGCACGCCGCGGUGAAUACGUUCCCGGGCCUU